CGAGGAUUUCCAAAGUAACGGCGAGUGAACUGGAAAGAGCUCAACGCUGAAUCGCACGGCAAACCUGUCGUAGCGAACUGUAGCGUAUAAGCGUAACUGCAUCGAUGACUAACCACACACACUCAAAGUUCCUUUGACUGGGGCAAGUUCCAGAGAAGGUGCAAGGCCUGUAUGAGUGGUUGGCAGUUGUCGAUACUGGUUAUUGCUGUAGAGUCGAGUUGCCUGAAACCGCAGCUCAAAGUUGGUGGUAAACCUCAUCUAAAGCUAAAUACGACUUCGAGACCGAUAGCGAACAAGUACCGCGAGGGAAAGUUGCAAAGAACUUCGAAGGGAGAGUUCAAGAGGACGUGAAACCACUAGGGGGGAAGCGGAUGGAGUUAACAGCAUAAUGAUGGCAUUCAGCCAAUGGUAUUUAUACAUCUGCUAUACGCUGUGUUUCCGGUAACAACGGACACUGGUAUGCAUGCCUAUCGUAUGUAUCAUUGGUGUUUUUGCCAUCAUUGGCGCGCUGAGGCGCUUAGAGUGAUGUGUUGCAGUAGAUUAGUAGAGGACUGCGCUGUUUAUCAAUGCAGAACCCUAUAAUUUACUAAUGCAUAUUCGCUACAAGCGUUGCAAGUACUGGUCCUACCCGCUACGGCGCAUCAGCACAGCUAUGACUGCACCGAUGCUUGUCAGUGACACUGUCACUGAGCCUGUUGUCGAAGUGCGGCCGUGGUUGUGUUUGAUGCGUUGGUAGAGACUGAACCUCG
This 749-nucleotide ribosomal RNA is filed under the name Syphacia muris. Its description in RNAcentral is "eukaryotic LSU rRNA". It matches the Rfam family "Eukaryotic large subunit ribosomal RNA", at positions 69 to 625 of the family's 3401-position model. The record is from RNAcentral. Lineage: Eukaryota; Metazoa; Nematoda; Chromadorea; Rhabditida; Oxyuridae.